This 1430-nucleotide ribosomal RNA is filed under the name uncultured organism. RNAcentral's name for it is "SSU rRNA". It matches the Rfam family "Bacterial small subunit ribosomal RNA". The record is from RNAcentral.
UCAGGACGAACGCUGGCGGCGUGCUUAACACAUGCAAGUCGAACGGAAAGGCCCUGCUUUUGUGGGGUGCUCGAGUGGCGAACGGGUGAGUAACACGUGAGUAACCUGCCCUUGACUUUGGGAUAACUUCAGGAAACUGGGGCUAAUACCGGAUAGGAGCUCCUGCUGCAUGGUGGGGGUUGGAAAGUUUCGGCGGUUGGGGAUGGACUCGCGGCUUAUCAGCUUGUUGGUGGGGUAGUGGCUUACCAAGGCUUUGACGGGUAGCCGGCCUGAGAGGGUGACCGGCCACAUUGGGACUGAGAUACGGCCCAGACUCCUACGGGAGGCAGCAGUGGGGAAUAUUGCACAAUGGGCGGAAGCCUGAUGCAGCAACGCCGCGUGCGGGAUGACGGCCUUCGGGUUGUAAACCGCUUUCGCCUGUGACGAAGCGUGAGUGACGGUAAUGGGUAAAGAAGCACCGGCUAACUACGUGCCAGCAGCCGCGGUGAUACGUAGGGUGCGAGCGUUGUCCGGAUUUAUUGGGCGUAAAGGGCUCGUAGGUGGUUGAUCGCGUCGGAAGUGUAAUCUUGGGGCUUAACCCUGAGCGUGCUUUCGAUACGGGUUGACUUGAGGAAGGUAGGGGAGAAUGGAAUUCCUGGUGGAGCGGUGGAAUGCGCAGAUAUCAGGAGGAACACCAGUGGCGAAGGCGGUUCUCUGGGCCUUUCCUGACGCUGAGGAGCGAAAGCGUGGGGAGCGAACAGGCUUAGAUACCCUGGUAGUCCACGCUGUAAACGGUGGGUACUAGGUGUGGGGUCCAUUCCACGGGUUCCGUGCCGUAGCUAACGCUUUAAGUACCCCGCCUGGGGAGUACGGCCGCAAGGCUAAAACUCAAAGGAAUUGACGGGGCCCCGCACAAGCGGCGGAGCAUGCGGAUUAAUUCGAUGCAACGCGUAGAACCUUACCUGGGUUUGACAUGGAUCGGGGGUGCUCAGAGAUGGGUGUGCCUCUUUUGGGAUCGGUUCACAGGUGGUGCAUGGCUGUCGUCAGCUCGUGUCGUGAGAUGUUGGGUUAAGUCCCGCAACGAGCGCAACCCUUGUUCACUGUUGCCAGCACGUUAUGGUGGGGACUCAGUGGAGACCGCCGGGGUCAACUCGGGGGAAGGUGGGGAUGACGUCAAGUCAUCAUGCCCCUUAUGUCCAGGGCUUCACGCAUGCUACAAUGGCUGGUACAGAGAGUGGCGAGCCUGUGAGGGUGAGCGAAUCUCGGAAAGCCGGUCUCAGUUCGGAUUGGGGUCUGCAACUCGACCUCAUGAAGUCGGAGUCGCUAGUAAUCGCAGAUCAGCAACGCUGCGGUGAAUACGUUCCCGGGGCUUGUACACACCGCCCGUCAAGUCAUGAAAGUUGGUAACACCCGAAGCCGAAGGCCUAACCGUUGUGGGGGAGCCGUCGAAG